CACAUAGCAAAAAUUGCGUUCUCUCUCUCUCUUGUUAUGUAAUUCUCUCCUUCUGUUUGCAACAAAGUCUUCUUUCAUAACCAAUAAAAAAAAAUUCCGUUCUUCUUUCUCCUAUACCAAAUUAAUCCUCCAUCUUGUCUCCGUUUGUGCUGAGCCAUCAUUAACCAUGGUGAGUUAAAGGAUGUGAACAAGUUUUAAUUUUUUAAGCUUUGCAUGUUGAAUAUAAAAUGGUAAGUAAAUAAGAGAUCUAAUAAUUGCACCUUUAUUGAUCCUCAAGUAAAGCAACCCUUUGGAAAUUAUUAUUCAUUCUAUGGAGAUUAUGUGAGAGAAUUAAAUUUCUAAGUUCCAAGAUACGAAUAUACAAAUCGCGUCUUUCUGCAGAUGUAUAUUCAACCGAUAUCAAGAUUUUACCGUGUUAUAAUUAAGUUCACAGAGAAAAGGCAAAGUGUAUUUCCCAAAGGUAGCAACUGAUCCACGGCUUUAAAACUUGCUACUAGUUUAUUUUCAUGCUCUUUUUGAUCGUUAUAUUUGGGGAAAUCUCUGCUUUAAAAACAAAAAAAAAAACUUUAUGGCAGACGACGGGUCAGUACUUUUAAUACUUCUGCAUCAAACAUUUUCAUGUCGAGAAAUACACUUUUGUAAGUAUUGCUCUCUCAGAUUGUUAUAUUAGCACAAAAUCUCUGUUUUAAAUACGUCUUUAUGCAGAUGUAUAUUCAACGGAUAUUAAAGAGGCAGCAUGACUUGAGAGAGUGAGGGAAUUGCAGAUGAGCAUUGGAACUAUUAGUAAGUCGCCUCACAUCACAAAGCUAACGGAGCCAAAGGGAACUAUUUCCAGGAAUCAAACGUAUUCCACUGGAGUCGGAAUUGUGUGAAUUAGAAUCAGAGUUGUCAAAAGAGAUGAACAUACCUAUCUUUUGCUAUCAGAUACAUUGAAUUUUCUCUUCUUUUUUUAAUAAUUCAUUUUGCUGGCAAAAGGAACUAAAUCACAUAUUUUUUUAGCAAAUUUACGCUAGACAGAAUAUGUAGAAGUCUUGCCUCAGAUAAAAUUUUAACUUGAAACAUCAUAUCGAUUUUAUUGAUAUCCAUUAAAACUCACCUUAGGAUCAAAACAUUUGUCAGCAGAAAAUAAAUUAAAUUAAUAAGAAUAAUCUAAAUAGAACGACAUAAAAUGAAACUCUACCUAACAAGUUGUGGGCCUUGUUUAUUUGAAACUGUAAGGUAAUGUCCAAGCAAUUUCUUUGUGACUGACCAAACAAAGAGAGUAGACUUUAUUGUAUUGAAGAUAAAUAAUCGGUCAAAAAAGCAUAUUUUAAUAAAUAUGUACAUUAGUAGAAGUACUUGUGGAGCAAUAAAAUUCGUAGCGGAGUUAUGAGUUUAGCGAAGUGUGUGUAAAUAUUUUUCUUAGUUAUGUUAAGGGUGUAAAAAAUUAAAUAUACACCUGUAAUAAUGGAGUAAUAUUUAAUCUCGUAUAUACCACAUAAUUUUCUAGCGAUAAGUGUGCACUAAACCACCCUUCACCUAAAGUGGCUCCGCCCAUUACAGUAAUUCCAUUUAACUUCUCCUAAAAUUUUAUUUCUUCUCAUUUGGGAUAUUCUUUUUUCUUUGAAGCUUCAGCCGCUUGUACUUUUAGCUGUCCAUUUUGUAGUCCAGAGCAUAAAGGGCAAGUUU
This 1668-nucleotide long non-coding RNA is filed under the name Solanum tuberosum (potato). Its description in RNAcentral is "long non-coding RNA (STUB_LNC006203)". The record is from RNAcentral. Lineage: Eukaryota; Viridiplantae; Streptophyta; Magnoliopsida; Solanales; Solanaceae.